RNAcentral lists this ribosomal RNA (465 nucleotides) under uncultured Klebsiella sp. Its description in RNAcentral is "bacterial SSU rRNA". It matches the Rfam family "Bacterial small subunit ribosomal RNA", at positions 338 to 795 of the family's 1533-position model. The record is from RNAcentral. Lineage: Bacteria; Pseudomonadati; Pseudomonadota; Gammaproteobacteria; Enterobacterales; Enterobacteriaceae.
CCUACGGGCGGCUGCAGUGGGGAAUAUUGCACAAUGGGCGCAAGCCUGAUGCAGCCAUGCCACGUGUGUGAAGAAGGCCUUCGGGUUGUAAAGCACUUUCAGCGGGGAGGAAGGCGGUGAGGUUAAUAACCUUAUCGAUUGACGUUACCCGCAGAAGAAGCACCGGCUAACUCCGUGCCAGCAGCCGCGGUAAUACGGAGGGUGCAAGCGUUAAUCGGAAUUACUGGGCGUAAAGCGCACGCAGGCGGUCUGUCAAGUCGGAUGUGAAAUCCCCGGGCUCAACCUGGGAACUGCAUUCGAAACUGGCAGGCUAGAGUCUUGUAGAGGGGGGUAGAAUUCCAGGUGUAGCGGUGAAAUGCGUAGAGAUCUGGAGGAAUACCGGUGGCGAAGGCGGCCCCCUGGACAAAGACUGACGCCCAGGUGCGAAAGCGUGGGGAGCAAACAGGAUUAGAUACCCCGGUAGUC